This 111-nucleotide non-coding RNA is filed under the name Enterobacter ludwigii. The record is from RNAcentral. Lineage: Bacteria; Pseudomonadati; Pseudomonadota; Gammaproteobacteria; Enterobacterales; Enterobacteriaceae.
AGACGAGGCGGCACGUGUUUGACCCUUGACGUCCCCGCACCGUCAGCGAGUUUCUCUCAAAACUCGAACAACUAAAGCCAACGUGAACUUUUGCGGACCCCGUGGUCCGCA